Molecule: ribosomal RNA, 354 nt
Filed under: cyanobacterium AP20
Lineage: Bacteria; Bacillati; Cyanobacteriota
Description: bacterial SSU rRNA
Rfam family: Bacterial small subunit ribosomal RNA
Source: RNAcentral
UGGGACGCCGCGUGGGGGAGGAAUGUUUAGGGUUGUAAACCCCUUUUCUCAGGGAAGAAGAACGACGGUACCUGAGGAAUCAGCAUAUGUAACUCUGCCCAGCAGCCGCGGUAAGACGGAGGAUGCAAGCCAUAUCCGGAAUUAUUGGGCGUAAAGCGUCAGAAGAGGGUUUAUCAAGUCUCCCGUUGAAGACUACAGCUUAUCUGUGGGCCGGCGGUGGAAAUUGAUGAACUGGAGUGAGGUAGGGGUAGAGGGAAUUCCCACUGUAGCGGUGAAAUUAAUAGGUCUUUGAAGUCACCAGUGGGAAGGCGCUUUACUGGCCGUACAGACGCAAUGAGAAAAAACAGGAAAUAG